RNAcentral lists this ribosomal RNA (328 nucleotides) under uncultured eukaryote. Its description in RNAcentral is "partial 18S ribosomal RNA". It matches the Rfam family "Eukaryotic small subunit ribosomal RNA", at positions 1470 to 1796 of the family's 1831-position model. The record is from RNAcentral.
CCCUUAGAUGUCCUGCGCCGCACGCGCGUUACACUGAUGCAUUCAACGAGCUUAUAACCUUGGCCGAGAGGCCUGGGCAAUCUUGUUAACGUGCAUCGUGAUAGGGAUAGAUUAUUGAAAUUAUUAAUCUUGAACGAGGAAUUCCUAGUAAACGCAGAUCAUCAAUCUGCAUUGAUUACGUCCCUGCCCUUUGUACACACCGCCCGUCGCACCUACCGAUUGGAUGGUCCGGUGAAGCCUCGGGAUUGUGGUUCUUGCCGCUUUAUUGUGGCGUGACCGCGAGAACUUGUCUAAACCUUAUCAUCUAGAGGAAGGUGAANUCGUANCA